CUAUGACUCAGUUAUCUCUAUAACUUUAUCAUUUUAAGGACCUAAUAAUUUUAGAGGAUUUAAAUAAUAUAGAGGAUGAGGUCAGAUGAACCAGCUUAUCAUGAUCCUCCAACUGGCUUCACCAAGUCAGCUUAAGGGAGACCAUUAAAAGGGUUGGUCUAGGAGCACCUAAAUCAGUCACACUGAUUUACCUAGCUGACAUGGGUCAGCUCGAAUUGUCAAGUGAUCCGAUCAAAACAUAAUUUCACCAAGAGGCCAGGUAAGUUCGAUCAGUGGGAGGGUCUGCCAAAGCUUGCCUUAGACACCAUCAGAAAUGGAUAGGUAAGCGGGCUCCCAAUUAAAAAUCACCGAUCUGGUUUACCUUAGACACCAACUAGUUUAAUUAGUUUCGAUUAGAUCAACCUAACAGUUCGUGCUAGACCUCUUAGCCAAGAAUCAAGUCCAUUUGGUUCUCAUUAAAGACACGGACUUGACCAACUACAACCAUUGUAAUUGAUCUAGAGAAUCCUUGACCUAAUCUAAGACAACAAUUGAUUAGAUUUAGUC
This 546-nucleotide long non-coding RNA is filed under the name Elaeis guineensis (African oil palm). Its description in RNAcentral is "long non-coding RNA (EGUI_LNC067626)". Lineage: Eukaryota; Viridiplantae; Streptophyta; Magnoliopsida; Arecales; Arecaceae. The record is from RNAcentral.